Molecule: long non-coding RNA, 982 nt
Organism: Gasterosteus aculeatus aculeatus (three-spined stickleback)
Lineage: Eukaryota; Metazoa; Chordata; Actinopteri; Perciformes; Gasterosteidae
Source: Ensembl
CCUACCUCGACGGCCGCACCUCCCGGGUAACCUGGCGAGGAUCUGUGUCGGAACCUUGUCCUCUUACUACUGGAGUUCCUCAGGGGUGGCGGCACGGAUCUCUGCCUGUCUGACUGACAUCUCUCAGUGGAUGUCCGCCCACCAUCUGAAAAUCAACCCCGACAAGACUGAAAUACUAUUUCUGGGAAAAGAUUCUCCGACCCAGGACCUGACGGUCAACUUUGCCAACUUCGUGUUAACGCCCACUUUGACUGCUAGGAACCUCAACGUGACACUCGACAGCCAACUUUCCUUGACUCCCAACAUCACUGCGACAACACGAUCCUGUAGAUAUAUGCUGUACAACAUCAGGAGAAUACGUCCCCUUCUCACUCAGAAGGCAGCGCAGGUACUGAUUCAGGCUCUUGUCAUCUCCCGCCUGGACUACUGCAACUCCCUCCUGGCUCAUCCAGAAUGCAGCAGCUCGACUGGUCUUCAACCUUCCGAAAUUCUCCCACACUACUCCACUCCUCCGCUCUCUUCACUGGCUACCGGUGGCCGCCCGCAUCCAGUUCAAAACAUUGGUGCUCACGUACCAUGCUGUGAAUGGAUCGGGUCCAGCUUACAUGCAGCACAUGGUCAAACCCUACAUCCCAACCCGCACUCUCCGCUCUGCAUCUGCAAAACUACUCGUCCCUCCCUCACUGAGAGCAAAACACUCGACAAGAUCACGACUCUUUGCUGUCCUUGCUCCGAAAUGGUGGAACGAGCUCUCUGAAGACACCAGGACCGCAGAGAGCCUUCACAUCUUUCGCCGCAAACUAAAGACACAUCUCUUCAGACUCUACCUCGACUAAAGACUAACAAAUUGUAGCACUUAAAUUGUACUUGUAACGUCACUCAUCUAUAGCAAAUUGUAAAUUGGCUUAUUUGAUAAAAAUGCACUUUCUUGUUUCUUGUUCUUCUGAGUUUGUACCCUAUGGUUGAAUGCACUUAUUGUACG